UCUAUCUUCACAAACUCUUUGCACAUCCAAACGAGGGUAGGUUACCCACCUCUCUUCUAUCUCUCUUUCUUCAACCUCUCUCUUUCCUUUCUCACUUCUACCAAAUAGAAUGAGAGCUAGCGGAGGAAGAUUAACGUCAACUUCUCUUUCUUUUUCUCUCUCUUCCCAAUCUUCUUCAUAUUCAUUGCCCCGUACAUCUUCAAAACCGCUCCUAUAGGAUCAAGAUCAAUACCUCCACCUGCCUCCACCCUAGUGUCAUCGCCACCAUCACCAAGUGCAGAAAGCCUAGGCCCAAGAUCGGGCCCCUCCGACACUUCAUCACCGCCUCCCCCUUCUUCCCUUCAAGUACUUGUAUUCCACAUAUCCAUAAUAAACAUCUCCUUCAUUGUUGCCGCCGAUGUCUAUUUGAGAACCUCCGAUGGUGCUACGGUAUGUGAACGAGUAGAGCUGAGGAAAUAGGCUUUGGAGCAAGCUGUGAGAUUUCACGACGGAGAAGGACACCCUAGAGAACUUGCUGAGUUCAGGAACUAUUUUUGGAUCGAACUGCAAUGUCGAGUUUGGAUGGAGAAAUAAAAGGCGAUGGAGAAUCUUCGAUGGAGCUUGACCUUUGUACAAGUCGGAGAGGAGAACUUGAAGAAUAGUGGAAGACUCGAAAAGUAUAGUCGGGUUUAAGGCUAGAGCCUUGGGUUAGAGAACUUACCGUUAUUGGUUUAAGCUUGCAUUAUGAUUUUAGAAAUUUAUAAUAGUGGCUUCAGGUAGGUUCCGACGCAUUGCUUUCUUGCGGUUCCCCGGUGUGGAGAUCGUAGGGAGUAAGUCGAAUUUGUGGUGUCGUUGCAUAAUAGAUUCUUUGUUGAAUCUGAUUCUUGUUAGAUUUUGUGCUUUCGUCUCCACCUUCGGGUACUUGCCUUGUUCAAGGCAACAUGUAAUUUUCUUUACAGUUGGGAGUAAGCAUGACAUGUUUUGGAAAUACUUCGAAAAGAAAAAACUAA
Molecule: long non-coding RNA, 989 nt
Organism: Lotus japonicus
Lineage: Eukaryota; Viridiplantae; Streptophyta; Magnoliopsida; Fabales; Fabaceae
Exons: 3
Source: RefSeq, a predicted model, not a curated record